Molecule: ribosomal RNA, 491 nt
Filed under: uncultured bacterium
Lineage: Bacteria
Description: partial 16S ribosomal RNA
Rfam family: Bacterial small subunit ribosomal RNA
Source: RNAcentral
GAUGAACGCUGGCUACAGGCUUAACACAUGCAAGUCGAGGGGAAACGACGGGGAAGCUUGCUUCCCCGGGCGUCGACCGGCGCACGGGUGAGUAACGCGUAUCCAACCUGCCUCUGACUGAGGGAUAACCCGUCGAAAGUCGGCCUAAUACCUCAUGGUAUCGUCUGCAGGCAUCCAACGACGAUUAAAGAUUUCAUCGGUCAGGGAUGGGGAUGCGUCUGAUUAGCUUGUUGGCGGGGUAACGGCCCACCAAGGCUACGAUCAGUAGGGGUUCUGAGAGGAAGGUCCCCCACAUUGGAACUGAGACACGGUCCAAACUCCUACGGGAGGCAGCAGUGAGGAAUAUUGGUCAAUGGGCGAGAGCCUGAACCAGCCAAGUAGCGUGCAGGAAGACGGCCCUAUGGGUUGUAAACUGCUUUUAUGCGGGGAUAAAGUGAGGGACGUGUCCCUCAUUGCAGGUACCGCAUGAAUAAGGACCGGCUAAUUCCGUG